Long non-coding RNA from Papaver somniferum (opium poppy), 598 nucleotides. RefSeq lists it as uncharacterized. The record is from RefSeq and is a predicted model, not a curated record. The transcript is spliced from 2 exons. NCBI's taxonomy places the organism in Eukaryota, Viridiplantae, Streptophyta, Magnoliopsida, Ranunculales, Papaveraceae.
UAAAUAUAAAUAAGCGACGAUAAAACUUCAAAUCAAUAAACGGUGCAUUCAACAAAUAAAUUCACAAAACCAAUGAAGUCUCCGACAAAUCAAUUCAUUUAGAUUUCGGUACAUUGAGUCCACGGCACGAAAACCUUGGUUCGUACUGUUACAAGUUGAUAUCAGAGCGUCAGCCACAACAUUUGCUUUACCUGGAUGGUAUUGCAAAUUAAACUCGUAAUCCUUGAUAAACUCCAUCCAACGUCUUUGCCUUAGAUUUAGAUCUCUUUGAGUGAAAAUGUAUCGCAAGCUUUUGUGGUCAGAAAAGAUCUCGAAUUUCUCACCGUAAAGAUAAUGUUUCUUUGGGGAGGAAAACGAUUUGGUUCAAGCUAAUUACAGAUUUAUCGAAGGACGAUGCGUGUAAAAGUUUGCUUGUCUAAAGAGUGCAUUGUCCGGUGUCGUAAUUUUAUGUAUCUUCUAUGAGAUGUUCCAUUUGAAACUGAUGUUGGAGACUUAUAAACAUGAUUUAGUUCCUUGGAAGUUUCUUUCCUGUUAUUGAAAGGAUUUGGAUUUUAAUAAAUGUAUUUUAUAAGUUAGCUGGAGAAUUGUAGUUUGAAUA